Molecule: ribosomal RNA, 301 nt
Filed under: uncultured bacterium
Lineage: Bacteria
Description: partial 16S ribosomal RNA
Rfam family: Bacterial small subunit ribosomal RNA
Source: RNAcentral
CAGCAGCCACGGUAACACGUAGGUGGCAAGCGUUGUCCGGAAUUAUUGGGCGUAAAGGGCUCGCAGGCGGUUUCUUAAGUCUGAUGUGAAAGCCCCCGGCUCAACCGGGGAGGGUCAUUGGAAACUGGGAAACUUGAGUGCAGAAGAGGAGAGUGGAAUUCCACGUGUAGCGGUGAAAUGCGUAGAGAUGUGGAGGAACACCAGUGGCGAAGGCGACUCUCUGGUCUGUAACUGACGCUGAGGAGCGAAAGCGUGGGGAGCGAACAGGAUUAGAUACCCCUGUAGUCCCUGUCUCUUAUAC